GUCAUGAAAAGUCACAUUGGAAGCAGAACUGUCCAAAGUACCAGCAAGAUGUGAAGUAUGGGAAAGUUAAACCCAACCAUGCAGGUAUUUACACUAUCAUUUCUAAUAACUCACCCCAUUCUAAAUCUUGGGUCCUUGAUACCGGUUGUGGUAUUCAUAUUUGUUGUGACUUGCAGGGACUAAGAAGAAGUGAGAAUGUGGAGCAAGGAAGAAUAAACUUGAUCAUGGGGAAUAGGAAAGCUUUACCUGUUACCAAGAUUGGAGUUUAUACUUUAUCGCUAAGUAGUGGGUUUAAUUUAGAUUUGAAUAAAUGUUGUUAUUCGCCAGGAAUGGCAAGAAAUAUUAUUUCCUUUCAUGCUUUGUACAAACAAGGGUUUACCUUUUCAUUUAAUAAUGAAGUUGGUUCUAUAGAUGUUUUCUAUAAUAAUGUUUUUUAUUUUAAAGCAUUACCUUGUGAUGGUGUGUAUGAAGCUGUAUCUGUUGUAGAUAACUUGGGAAAUAAUGUUUUGUGUAUUGAUUCUACUAAUAAUAACUUGGAUAAAGCAUCUUUAUGGCAUUGUCGUCUUGGACAUAUAAGCAAGAAACGCAUAGGCCAACUCCAAAAGGAUGGAGUCUUGGAGUCGUUUGACCUAAAGUCAGAUGAUAGUUGCGAAUCAUGCUUACUUGGAAAAAUGACAAAGUCACCCUUCACAGGUUCGUGUGAGAGGGGUGAAGGUUUGUUGGACCUUAUACACACGGAUGUGUGUGGACCAUUCAAACAUGCCACAAGGGAUGCUAAUCGUUAUUAUUUGACUUUUACUGAUGAUUAUAGUAGAUAUGGAUAUGUCUACUUGAUCAAGCAUAAGUCAGAGACUUUCGAGAGGUUUAAGGAAUUUAAACAGGAAGUCGAGAAUCAAUUGGGCAGGAACAUUAAGAUGCUUCGAUCCGAUCGUGGUGGUGAGUAUCUUAGUUCAGAGUUCCUCGACUAUCUAAGGGAAUGUGGGAUAGUCUCACAAUUGACACCUCCCAGGACACCACAGUUGAAUGGUGUGGCUGAGAGGCGUAAUCGAACCUUGUUAGAUAUGGUUCGUUCCAUGAUGAGUCGAGCUACGCUACCAAUCUCAUUCUGGGGGUAUGCCUUAGAGACUGCCGCCCAUAUUCUUAAUCUAGUCCCUACAAAGAAAGUUGCCAAAACUCCUCACGAGAUGUGGACUGGUAAAGUACCUAAACUAGACCACAUCAAGAUUUGGGGUUGCGAGGCUUUCGUGAGACGCGAGACUCAUGAUAAGCUCGAACCUCGAAGCGAGAGGUGUAUUUUCAUCGGUUACCCACAGCGAUCCUUUGGUUACCUCUUCUACAGACCUAGUGACAAUGUGGUCUUUGUAGCAAGAAGAGGAGUCUUUCGAGAAAGAGAGUUUAUAAGCCAAGGAGACAGUGGGAGGCAAAUUGAUCUUGAAGAAAUUCAAGAAUCAAGCGGUGAAGGAACUUCAAACUCUAGCCCUCAACUUGAGGAGGAAACUCCUGUUGAGCCAAUUGACAAAUCUGUACCUCUGAGACGUUCCACGAGAGUUAGGAGUGCACCUGAGCAUUACUAUGGAUUCCAUAUUACUGCAGAAGGUGAGACACUUAUUAGUGAUGAGACACUAGUAAGUCAAGAUGACCCUAACAGCUACGAGGAAGCCAUGGCAGGCCCCGAGUCUGCUAAAUGGAAAGAGGCUAUGGAUAGCGAGAUACAAUCCAUGUAUGACAAUCAAGUUUGGAACUUGGUUGAAAAUGUACCAGGUCGUAAGACAGUAGGGUGCAAAUGGGUCUUCAAGAAGAAGACCGACAUGGAUGGUAAAGUACACACUUAUAAGGCUAGACUGGUUGCAAAGGGCUUCUCUCAAAUUCCUGGAGUGGAUUAUGAUGAGACCUUUUCUCCGGUAGCCAAGAUUAAGUCUAUUCGGGUUCUGUUAGCCAUAGCUGCAUUUCAUGACUAUGAAAUAUGGCAGAUGGAUGUCAAAACCGCUUUCCUUAAUGGAAAGUUGGCUGAAGAUGUUUACAUGAGUCAGCCAGAGGGUUUUGUCAGCAACGAGUACCCUAAUAGAGUGUGUAAGCUUGAGAAAUCCAUUUAUGGAUUGAAGCAAGCACCUCGCAGAUGGAAUCUUUGCUUUGAUGAAAAGGUCAAGGAAUUUGGCUUUUCUAGGAGUGAAGAUGAAUCUUGUGUGUAUGUCAAGGCUAGUGGGAGUAUAGUUAGCUUUUUGGUAUUGUAUGUGGAUGACAUACUACUCAUAGGAAACGACAUUCCAACCCUGCAGGAAGUAAAGUCCUGGCUUGGGAAGUGUUUCGCUAUGAAGGACCUUGGUGAAGCUGCCUAUAUUCUAGGGAUAAGAAUCUUGAGAGAUCGGAGUAAAAGACUAAUUGGACUUAGUCAGAGUACCUACUUGGAUAAGGUGCUGAAGAGAUUCAGCAUGCAGGAUUCCAAGAAAGGAGAGUUACCCAUCCAGAGUAACACCAGAUUGAGUAAGACACAAAGCCCUAGCACUGAGGCUGAGAUAGCAGAAAUGAGUCGAACACCUUACGCUUCGGCUGUAGGAUCGAUCAUGUAUGCUAUGACGUGUACUCGACCCGAUGUAGCUUUUGCCUUGAGCAUGGUUAGCAGGUAUCAGGCGAACCCUGGCAAGGCACACUGGACUGCGGUAAAGAAUAUCCUCAAGUACCUACGGAGGACUAAGGACUGGGUCCUUACCCUCGGUGGGAGUGAUGACUUGAGAGUUGUAGGGUAUAGUGAUGCUAGCUUCCAGACUGAUAGGGAUAAUUUCCGCUCUCAGUCGGGCUGGGUCUUUACCCUAAACGGAGGAGCAAUUUCUUGGAAGAGUUCCAAGCAAGAGACAGUGGCAGAUUCUACUUGUGAAUCAGAGUAUAUUGCAGCUAGCGAAGCAGCAAAGGAGGCGAUAUGGCUGAAGAACUUCAUUGGAGACCUUGGAGUUGUACCAGCUAUUAAAGAGCCAAUGGAAAUUUUCUGUGAUAGUGAAAGUGCUGUUGCCUUAGCCAAGGAACCAAGGGAUCAUGGGAGAUCCAGACACAUCGACAGAAAAUACCAUUUCAUUAGACAUCGGAUCGAAGAAGGACUCCUCGUGGCAAAGAGGGUAUCAUCGGAUGAGAACCCAGCAGAUCCCCUCACGAAGGGACUGAGUAGGGUUAAGCAUCUCCAGCAUGCUCGGAGCAUAGGGCUGAAGGAUGAUAUAAGUUUUAGUAGUUAGAUAACCCAGAAAUUUGUAAAGUGUAAUUGACAUUUGAUGAUGAAUAAAAGGUGUUUUAUUUAUGAGUAAAGUGUUGCUAUCUCUUGUCAAUCGUUUACUAUAUUUCUUUUGCAUGUUUUGACUUCCAGAAUAAUUUUGUUUGGUGUAACAUAUUAUUCAAACCUCCACAGUCGGUCAUAUGUCGGAAGUAGGUAUGAAUCAAGACUGUCAUGAUGGGUUGUAGAGGUCUAAGGUGUUGGACAAGGCUACAACAAUCAUGAGUGCUCAUAAGUUCUGAGCAUUGGACUCAACCCACGCUCACUGGAAUCACUUCAUGGAAUUCUAUCUCGAGUGAUCGUGAGACGGUAAUAUCAUAUAAGUCUUCAAACCUAGAGAUAUGAUUUGUUACUUACAAGUUGGUUAUGCAUUGACUGUACGAAACCGCAUUGGUAACUCGAUGUUAUAAAACGUACUUUUGUGUGUAAUUCAAUGAGUGGUAGAACAAACAUAUGAGUCGAAGUUUAUCUGUUCCUUCUUGGAUUAGAAGCUGAUAUCUGGGCCCCUCGAUGAUUUUGUUUUGACCCAUGUACCGGGCCCGGUCAGAACUAAGUUGAUGUGUUCAAUUAAGUUCUAUGUCAAACAAAUCGGAAAUCGGGAAACAAAUGCUGGACAAUAAGCAAGACAAUGUUCCAUGUAUUUGUCCGGCUGAUAUCUAGAACGGAGGAUUAUAUGAUCACUUAUCUUAAAUGGCGUACCAUCAUCUUCUCAGUUCCGAGAGACCUUGAAAGAGCUACGAUUGCCGGUCGGUUCCUGAAGUACUAGAGAUAUAGUUAUUAGACUUAUCCAAGUGGGAGACUGUUGGAUAAGGUGUCUAAGUCCAUAACUAUUUCGGGCUUGUACUUGACCCGACCCGGCAUGGUCCAUUUGGGUUGCAUGGCACCAUGCAAUUGGAUAGACUAAAUGAGAGAAAUAACACUUGGAGAUUAUUAAUAUAUUAUAAGUUCUAAUAUAUUAAUAAUAUUAUUUGAUUAGUUGAUCAAAGAAUUAAUUUGGAAUUAAUUAAGUGAUCAAAGGAUAACUAAUUAAAUAUAUGGGUUGAUUAUGUAAAUCAUCCAUAUCUUGUAUAGUGGGCUAAGAGGCUCCAUGGAUUAUCAAGUUGGGUUCUACCCAUAGGAUGCUCCAUGGAUGCUCCAUGGGAGUUACAAACCCAUGGGUCAUGGAAAUGAAGAGUCAUGACACAUUAGGGUUUACAUGGUGUAACCCUAGAUGUGUCAACACUAUAUAAGAAUCAUAUUCUCCACCAAAAUCGGCUACACUAAGAAACUAGAGGGCUUGGCCGAUUUUGAGAAGUGUGUGUUAUCUCAAGAGUCUUUCCAAGAGCAUUUGGUGUUGUGUGAAGCAUUUGAGGCAUCACACUUGGGGUGCUAGGCUCACAAGGUUUCAAGGAACACAAGCAACAACAAGGUAAGUUAUUCUAUCUAUGAUUCAAGUUAAAAUUGUUCCCCAUGUAUGCUAGAUAGGAAUAUAACCUUGGAAUUCAACUUUGCAUGAUAAUUAGACAAACAUAGAUCCAAGGUUAUUAGGGUUGCAUGUACACUUAGGAAGUGUUAGAAUGCUCAAAACCCAUCAGUGGUAUCAGAGCCUAGGCUUGUUUGUUUGUUAUUUGUGCUUAAAAGUUGAAGAAAGUCGAAAAUCUUGCUGUCUGACUGAUGGACUCGGCGAGUCCAUGGGGAGGACUCGUCGAGUUCAUGUGUAUCUUCAACCUACUCGGCGAGUAGGUUUAUGCACUCGGCGAGUAGGGUCGACAGAGUGCAGAAUUUCGACUUGAGUUGCUGGAAAUGGAUUAGAAUCAUUACCCUAAAAUGUUUUGGUACUUGAAAACUUAUUUUAGAAGGUGUAAUGUCUUUUCUAACUCAUUUACAACAACUAGUUAUCAAAAUUACAAAGAUUAAAUGUGAUUUUGAUUCUUGAAAGUGUUCAUAUUCAUAUUCUUGUUCUUAUGAUGUUUAGAUGAUCAUAGGAAUUAUUUGUAACCUAUGUGGUAGAUUAAUUCAUGAUCAUAAUGUGUUUUAAUGGAGUCCAUAACUUGUCCUCAAGUUAUGGAAAACCAAAAGUCUCUUGGAUUAAAAACCAUUAAAAGAACACAAGAGUUAGGAAAAAUGAAAAGUCCUCAUUUUAUUACUCUAUUAAACUCAUAAGUUACAAGAAAUGAAAAGUUUUGAAAGUUUACAAAACUUGCCCUCAAGUUUUGGAACAAGUAAAGUUAAGUUAAAACUUUAGUUCCAACCCCUAGAAUUUUAAAAGUUAAAAUUCAACCCUUAUACUUAUAUUAUUAUGAUUUAAUAAUUAUAUAUAUAUGUAUAAGAACAAAGUCGUCUUACCGCUAGUACGCCUCAUUCACGAAGCCGGUCUAUAAGGUGGGUAUAAGGUUGUUGCCUAUAAAAUGGUGACUUAAUGGGUGUCCACUCUCACCCACCGCUUGCUUGAUCGGUGGAGGGUCGUUAGCCGAACGGGUAAGACAAGGACUUAUUAAUUCUCAUUCAAAGUAUGAUGAAUAUUAUAAAGUAACUAAAUGUUUUAUUAAAUUCCCAAUCUUAGUUACUUUAGGAAAAAUGUGAAUAAGGUGCUAUUCCAUGAAAUUACACUUUACACUUUGAUUAAGUCGUUGGUGGAGCGUGUGUGGUUAACCGGCACACUAACUUGGACUUAACAAGGUAGGUAAAGGGUGACUUAGGGUUUAUUAUAGUAUCGAUGGAGCGUGUGUGGUUAACCGGCACAUCGAUUGAGUGAUAAACUUUAAGGGUACCAAGUGAUUUGCAUGGUUACUUCACACCUCGUUUUGUGAUCCUCGGUAUCCCAGUCACAAAACUUGGAGGGCACACUCGAGAUUGAAACAUGCCUUUGAAAAGUUCAUUGAAUCUCAAAGAAUCUAGGAAUUUCUAAGAACCAUUCAAAAACCUAAUACUAAAAUAUUGCGGUUUUCGUGGUGGAAAUUGGUGAAUCGUCAUUCACCUACCUUUCAAAUAUGAUAUAGCUUAGAUUACGGCAUACCUCUUCUAAGUUAUAUUAUAUUGUGAUUGGAUCCUAGCCUUAAUAUUACAUUUGGGUGUUUUAUUAAGGACUCUCUUAUAUCUAAACUAAUCUUGUCCUCUUUCCUUCAGAUGUCUUUCAACAAUGCUUCUGGCUCUAAUCCUAAUGGCUCCUUUACCCUUAUGAACUUGUGUGGGAAAGUCACCUUUGAUGGAUCCAACUUCAAUGAGUGGAUCAGAAACAUCAGGAUGAUUACCCGCUACGAGGACAAAGAAUAUGUCCUUGACAAGGAGCUUAAGGAGAUUGAUGAGUCCACUGCAACUCCUCAGGAGAUCGCUGAAUUUCGGGCACAUGAAAGGGAUGCUACGAAAGUGGCUUGCAUCAUGAUGGCCACGAUGACAGCGGAACUCCAAAAGUCUUAUGAGGAUUUCUACCCUUAUGAAAUGCACCAAGAUUUGAUGGAAAGAUACCAUCAAAGUGCAAGACAAGAGAGGUAUGAAAUCAUCUGCUCCAUGAUAACAACCAUGAUGAAGGACGGGGAAUCCGUCACGAGCCACAUGCAGAAAAUGCAAAGGUAUGUGGAUCGUUUGCUGAAGCUUAAUGUGAACUUCCCGGAGGAUCUUGCAAUAGAUAUUAUUUUGCAUUCCUUACCAUCGUGCUAUGAUCAAUUCCGCAUGACAUAUCACAUGAACAAGGAAGAAGUCACCCUCAGCAAACUUCAGGGACUUCUCAAGACCGCAGAAUCAGGUCUUAAGGGGAAGUCGGUUGCUAUCACUCCUACUCAAAACUCUACUCCGGUUUUGGCAAUCGGGAAAAGUCGAGGGAGGAAGAGAAAGAGCUCUUCUAAGGGUACCAAGGUUCGGACCCUUGAUGGCUCUUCUUCAAGUGGAACCAAGAAAGGUUUCAUUACUCCUUCUUCUGACCCAAAAGAGGCUGAAUGCUUCUAUUGCCAUGAAAAAGCUCAUUGGAAGCGGAACUGCCCAAAAUACCAGCAAGAUGUGAAGGAUGGGAAAGUUAAACCCAACCAUGCAGGUAUUUACACUAUCAUUUCUAAUAACUCACCCCAUUCUAAUUCUUGGGUCCUUGAUACCGGGUGUGGUAUUCACAUUUGUUGUGACUUGCAGGGACUAAGAAGAAGUGAGGAUGUGGAGCAAGGAAGGAUAAACUUGAUCAUGGGGAAUAGGAAAGCUAUACCUGUUACCAAGAUUGGAGUUUAUACUUUAUCGCUAAGUAGUGGGUUUAGUUUAGAUUUGAAUAAGUGUUGUUAUUCGCCAGGAAUGGCAAGAAAUAUUAUUUCCUUUCAUGCUUUGUACAAACAAGGGUUUACCUUUUCAUUUAAUAAUGAAGUUGGUUCUAUAGAUGUUUUCUAUAAUAAUGUCUUUUAUUUUAAAGCAUUACCUUGUGAUGGUGUGUAUGAAGCUGUAUCUGUUGUAGAUAACUUGGGAAAUAAUGUUUUGUGUAUUGAUUCUACUAAUAAUAA
This 7710-nucleotide long non-coding RNA is filed under the name Lactuca sativa (garden lettuce). RNAcentral's name for it is "long non-coding RNA (LSAT_LNC006900)". Lineage: Eukaryota; Viridiplantae; Streptophyta; Magnoliopsida; Asterales; Asteraceae. The record is from RNAcentral.